UGGGGAAUUUUGGACAAUGGGCGAAAGCCUGAUCCAGCAAUGCCGCGUGUGUGAAGAAGGCCUUCGGGUUGCAAAGCACUUUUGUCCGGAAAGAAAUCCUUGGCUCUAAUACAGUCGGGGGAUGACGGUACCGGAAGAAUAAGCACCGGCUAACUACGUGCCAGCAGCCGCGGUAAUACGUAGGGUGCAAGCGUUAAUCGGAAUUACUGGGCGUAAAGCGUGCGCAGGCGGUUUGCUAAGACCGAUGUGAAAUCCCCGGGCUCAACCUGGGAACUGCAUUGGUGACUGGCAGGCUAGAGUAUGGCAGAGGGGGGUAGAAUUCCACGUGUAGCAGUGAAAUGCGUAGAGAUGUGGAGGAAUACCGAUGGCGAAGGCAGCCCCCUGGGCCAAAUACUGACGCUCAUGCACGAAAGCGUGGGGAGCAAACAGGAUUAGAUACCCUGGUAGUCCACGCCCUAAAACGAUGUCAACUAGUUGUUGGGGAUUCAUUUCCUUAGUAACGUAGCUAACGCGUGAAGUUGACCGCCUGGGGAGUAC
RNAcentral lists this ribosomal RNA (537 nucleotides) under uncultured bacterium. RNAcentral's name for it is "partial 16S ribosomal RNA". It matches the Rfam family "Bacterial small subunit ribosomal RNA", at positions 355 to 883 of the family's 1533-position model. The record is from RNAcentral.